RNAcentral lists this ribosomal RNA (274 nucleotides) under uncultured bacterium. Its description in RNAcentral is "partial 16S ribosomal RNA". It matches the Rfam family "Bacterial small subunit ribosomal RNA", at positions 523 to 796 of the family's 1533-position model. The record is from RNAcentral.
AUACGUAGGGUGCUAGCGUUAAUCGGAAUUACUGGGCGUAAAGCGUGCGCAGGUGGUUUUGUAAGUCAGAUGUGAAAUCCCCGGGCUUAACCUGGGAACUGCGUUUGAAACUGCAAGGCUAGAGUGUGGCAGAGGGGGGUGGAAUUCCGCGUGUAGCAGUGAAAUGCGUAGAGAUGUGGAGGAACACCGAUGGCGAAGGCAGCCCCCUGGGUCAGCACUGACGCUCAGGCACGAAAGCAUGGGGAGCAAACAGGAUUAGAAACCCCGGUAGUCC